AACGCACGAGACCUGCGGACCUGCGGAAGGAUCAUUACCGAGUCUUGCACUCAAAUAACCCUUCUGUGGACCUGAAAAAAACCGUUGCCUCGGCGGGCGGCCCCUAUCUAUGGGCCGGACAGCUCGGCCGCCUUUUUUAAGGCGCGCCGGCGCCAGCCGCUGGCCCCAAACCAAAACUCUAGUAACUAUUACCUUCUGAGUUUUAAAACAAGAAAUAAAGUCAAAACUUUUAACAAUGGA
RNAcentral lists this unclassified non-coding RNA (240 nucleotides) under soil metagenome. RNAcentral's name for it is "partial contains 5.8S ribosomal RNA, internal transcribed spacer 2, and large subunit ribosomal RNA". The record is from RNAcentral.